AUUGAACGCUGGCGGCAUGCUUUACACAUGCAAGUCGAACGGCAGCGCGGGCUUCGGCCUGGCGGCGAGUGGCGAACGGGUGAGUAAUGCAUCGGAACGUGCCCUGUAGUGGGGGAUAGCCCGGCGAAAGCCGGAUUAAUACCGCAUACGACCUGAGGGGGAAAGCGGGGGACCGAAAGGCCUCGCGCUAUUGGAGCGGCCGAUGUCGGAUUAGCUAGUUGGUGGGGUAAAGGCUUACCAAGGCGACGAUCCGUAGCUGGUCUGAGAGGACGACCAGCCACACUGGGACUGAGACACGGCCCAGACUCCUACGGGAGGCAGCAGUGGGGAAUUUUGGACAAUGGGGGCAACCCUGAUCCAGCCAUGCCGCGUGCGGGAAGAAGGCCUUCGGGUUGUAAACCGCUUUUGUUCGGGAAGAAAUCCUCUGGGCUAAUACCCCGGGGGGAUGACGGUACCGGAAGAAUAAGCACCGGCUAACUACGUG
Molecule: ribosomal RNA, 484 nt
Filed under: uncultured bacterium
Lineage: Bacteria
Description: partial 16S ribosomal RNA
Rfam family: Bacterial small subunit ribosomal RNA
Source: RNAcentral